This 2879-nucleotide ribosomal RNA is filed under the name Burkholderia cepacia. RNAcentral's name for it is "ribosomal RNA 23s ribosomal RNA". It matches the Rfam family "Bacterial large subunit ribosomal RNA". Lineage: Bacteria; Pseudomonadati; Pseudomonadota; Betaproteobacteria; Burkholderiales; Burkholderiaceae. The record is from RNAcentral.
UCAAGCGAACAAGUGCAUGUGGUGGAUGCCUUGGCGAUCACAGGCGAUGAAGGACGCGGUAGCCUGCGAAAAGCUACGGGGAGCUGGCAAACAAGCUUUGAUCCGUAGAUGUCCGAAUGGGGAAACCCACUCCUUUUGGAGUAUCCAUGGCUGAAUACAUAGGCCAUGUGAAGCGAACGCGGUGAACUGAAACAUCUAAGUAACCGCAGGAAAAGAAAUCAACCGAGAUUCCCAAAGUAGUGGCGAGCGAAAUGGGAUGAGCCUUGCACUCUUUAUUUGUAUUGUUAGCCGAACGCUCUGGAAAGUGCGGCCAUAGCAGGUGAUAGCCCUGUAGGCGAAAACAGUAUGAAAGAACUAGGUGUGCGACAAGUAGGGCGGGACACGUGAAAUCCUGUCUGAAGAUGGGGGGACCAUCCUCCAAGGCUAAAUACUCGUGAUCGACCGAUAGUGAACCAGUACCGUGAGGGAAAGGCGAAAAGAACCCCGGGAGGGGAGUGAAAUAGAUCCUGAAACCGCAUGCAUACAAACAGUCGGAGCCUCGUAAGGGGUGACGGCGUACCUUUUGUAUAAUGGGUCAGCGACUUACGUUCAGUAGCAAGCUUAACCGUAUAGGGCAGGCGUAGCGAAAGCGAGUCCGAAUAGGGCGUUCAGUUGCUGGGCGUAGACCCGAAACCAGGUGAUCUAUCCAUGGCCAGGAUGAAGGUGCGGUAACACGUACUGGAGGUCCGAACCCACUAACGUUGAAAAGUUAGGGGAUGAGCUGUGGAUAGGGGUGAAAGGCUAAACAAACCUGGAAAUAGCUGGUUCUCUCCGAAAACUAUUUAGGUAGUGCCUCGUGUCUCACCUUCGGGGGUAGAGCACUGUCAUGGUUGGGGGGUCUAUUGCAGAUUACCCCGCCAUAGCAAACUCCGAAUACCGAAGAGUGCAAUCACGGGAGACAGACAUCGGGUGCUAACGUCCGGUGUCAAGAGGGAAACAACCCAGACCGCCAGCUAAGGUCCCCAAAUAUAGCUAAGUGGGAAACGAAGUGGGAAGGCUAAAACAGUCAGGAGGUUGGCUUAGAAGCAGCCACCCUUUAAAGAAAGCGUAAUAGCUCACUGAUCGAGUCGUCCUGCGCGGAAGAUGUAACGGGGCUAAGCUAUAUACCGAAGCUGCGGAUGCGUGCUUGCACGCAUGGUAGGAGAGCGUUCCGUAAGCCUGCGAAGGUGCCUUGUAAAGGGUGCUGGAGGUAUCGGAAGUGCGAAUGCUGACAUGAGUAGCGAUAAAGGGGGUGAAAGGCCCCCUCGCCGUAAGCCCAAGGUUUCCUACGCAACGUUCAUCGGCGUAGGGUGAGUCGGCCCCUAAGGCGAGGCAGAAAUGCGUAGCUGAUGGGAAGCAGGUCAAUAUUCCUGCACCAUUGUUAGAUGCGAUGGGGGGACGGAUCGCGGAAGGUUGUCCGGGUGUUGGAAGUCCCGGUCGCUGCAUUGGAGAAGGCGCUUAGGCAAAUCCGGGCGCGGAAUUCAAGGGUGUGGCGCGAGCUUCUUCGGAAGCGAAGCAAUUGGAAGUGGUUCCAAGAAAAGCCUCUAAGCUUCAGUCUAACGAUGACCGUACCGCAAACCGACACAGGUGGGCGAGAUGAGUAUUCUAAGGCGCUUGAGAGAACUCGGGAGAAGGAACUCGGCAAAUUGGUACCGUAACUUCGGGAUAAGGUACGCCCUUGUAGCUUGACUGGCCUGCGCCAGGAGGGUGAAGGGGUUGCAAUAAACUGGUGGCUGCGACUGUUUAAUAAAAACACAGCACUCUGCAAACACGAAAGUGGACGUAUAGGGUGUGACGCCUGCCCGGUGCCGGAAGAUUAAAUGAUGGGGUGCAAGCUCUUGAUUGAAGUCCCGGUAAACGGCGGCCGUAACUAUAACGGUCCUAAGGUAGCGAAAUUCCUUGUCGGGUAAGUUCCGACCUGCACGAAUGGCGUAACGAUGGCCACACUGUCUCCUCCCGAGACUCAGCGAAGUUGAAGUGUUUGUGAUGAUGCAAUCUACCCGCGGCUAGACGGAAAGACCCCAUGAACCUUUACUGUAGCUUUGCAUUGGACUUUGAACCGAUCUGUGUAGGAUAGGUGGGAGGCUAUGAAACCGGAACGCUAGUUUCGGUGGAGCCGUCCUUGAAAUACCACCCUGGUUUGUUUGAGGUUCUAACCUUGGCCCGUGAUCCGGGUCGGGGACAGUGCAUGGUAGGCAGUUUGACUGGGGCGGUCUCCUCCCAAAGCGUAACGGAGGAGUACGAAGGUACGCUAGGUACGGUCGGAAAUCGUGCUGAUAGUGCAAUGGCAUAAGCGUGCUUAACUGCGAGACCGACAAGUCGAGCAGGUGCGAAAGCAGGUCAUAGUGAUCCGGUGGUUCUGUAUGGAAGGGCCAUCGCUCAACGGAUAAAAGGUACUCUGGGGAUAACAGGCUGAUACCGCCCAAGAGUUCAUAUCGACGGCGGUGUUUGGCACCUCGAUGUCGGCUCAUCUCAUCCUGGGGCUGUAGCCGGUCCCAAGGGUAUGGCUGUUCGCCAUUUAAAGAGGUACGUGAGCUGGGUUUAAAACGUCGUGAGACAGUUUGGUCCCUAUCUGCCGUGGGCGUUGGAUAUUUGAAGGGGGCUGCUCCUAGUACGAGAGGACCGGAGUGGACGAACCUCUGGUGUACCGGUUGUCACGCCAGUGGCAUCGCCGGGUAGCUAUGUUCGGAAGAGAUAACCGCUGAAAGCAUCUAAGCGGGAAACUCGCCUUAAGAUGAGAUAUCCCUGGGGACUAGAUCCCCUUGAAGGGUCGUUCGAGACCAGGACGUUGAUAGGUCAGGUGUGUAAGCGCAGUAAUGCGUUCAGCUAACUGAUACUAAUUGCCCGUAAGGCUUGAUCCU